RNAcentral lists this ribosomal RNA (920 nucleotides) under uncultured bacterium. RNAcentral describes it as "bacterial SSU rRNA". It matches the Rfam family "Bacterial small subunit ribosomal RNA", at positions 8 to 916 of the family's 1533-position model. The record is from RNAcentral.
AGAGUUUGAUCCUGGCUCAGGACGAACGCUGGCGGCGUGCUUAAUACAUGCAAGUCGAGCGAGGUUACUGCGACAGAUCCCUUCGGGGUGAAGUUGCUUUAGCCUAGCGGCGGACGGGUGAGUAACGCGUGGGUAACCUACCCUAAAGUUCGGGAUAACAGCGGGAAACCGCUGCUAAUACCGGAUGCCUUUACCGUGUGGCAUCACAGGGUAAAGAAAGGUAACGCUUUAGGAUGGGCCCGCGUCCCAUUAGCUAGUUGGUGAGGUAACAGCUCACCAAGGCGACGAUGGGUAGCCGGCCUGAGAGGGUGGACGGCCACACUGGGACUGAGACACGGCCCAGACUCCUACGGGAGGCAGCAGUAGGGAAUAUUGCGCAAUGGACGGAAGUCUGACGCAGCGACGCCGCGUGAGCGAUGAAGGCCUUCGGGUUGUAAAGCUCUGUCCUUGGGGAAGAAGGUCUUCGGACUUGACGGUACCCAAGAAGAAAGCCCCGGCUAACUACGUGCCAGCAGCCGCGGUAAUACGUAGGGGGCGAGCGUUGUCCGGAAUUACUGGGCGUAAAGGGUGCGUAGGCGGCCCUUUAAGUCAGAUGUGAAAGCCCGCAGCUUAACUGCGGAAUUGCAUUUGAAACUGGAGGGCUUGAGUGUCGGAGAGGGUAGUGGAAUUCCCAGUGUAGCGGUGAAAUGCGUAGAUAUUGGGAGGAACACCAGUGGCGAAGGCGACUGCCUGGACGAUAACUGACGCUGAGGCACGAAAGCUAGGGGAGCAAACAGGAUUAGAUACCCUGGUAGUCCUAGCCGUAAACGAUGGGUACUAGGUGUAGGGUGGUUUCGAUACCAUCUGUGCCGUAGUUAACGCAUUAAGUACCCCGCCUGGGGGAGUACGUGCGCAAGCAUGAAACUCAAAGGAAUUGACGG